GCCGGCGAUGAGGGCUUGGGGACGAGUUCACUCCGGCGAGGGACUCGGUGCAGGGAGGCGGAGCUUGACGGAUCCGGCCACGGGGCAUCGGUUCCCGGCGACCGCGAGGCGAACGGGAGCUCGAGGAGGCAUCCAUGGCAGCAGACGAACUCUGUAGGCAAACAGAGGGAGGGAGUCGGGUGAGAGAGAGGGGAAGUAGAGGAGCAGAAAGAGGGGCAGGGCUGUCGAGCAUGGGCCUGGGGCUGGUGGUCGACGGCAACGCAGCUGGUCGCGAGGACGGGCGCGGGGCGCUGCUGGCCCGGUGGUGCUCCGACGGAGGUGGAGGCGGCCGGGUCCUGGAUGCAGGUAGUUGGGGACGAGGUCGAGCGCAGGAGGGAGAACGGGGCUCCGGUCGAGCACUCGUCGUCCUCCCUGCUCGAACGUAGUAGAGGAGGCAAGCAGGGCGUUGGGGCUCGGGCGCUGCGGGAUGAAGGACGACGGCGAGCUGAACCAGGCGCGCGACGGUGUUCUCCGGCGAGGGCAUGGCCAGGAUCCGGCGGACCCUGAUGCGGGCGAGGCUGGGGAACGACGAGGCCGGAUGGAUCCAUGGGUGGAUCGGGCAGGGAGGCGGCUGCGCUCGGCGGAGUCGAGCAGGAGCACGGGCUUGAGGUUGCACGCCUCCAUGGGUGCUUGCGCGGCUGCGGGGACUAGGAGGCGUCGGGGUGCGGUGGUUGGUUGGGUGGCGCUGAAAUUGAGGACGAUGGUCGGAGGCAGGAUGGGAUGGAUGGAUUGGGGCGCUGCGAGGUUGGUGGAUCUGGAUCGAGGGGGGAUCCCGAGGGGAGCGACCAAGCGGUGGCGGCGGGAGG
Molecule: ribosomal RNA, 845 nt
Filed under: Triticum aestivum (bread wheat)
Lineage: Eukaryota; Viridiplantae; Streptophyta; Magnoliopsida; Poales; Poaceae
Description: partial small subunit ribosomal RNA
Source: RNAcentral